AUUGAACGCUGGCGGCAGGCCUAACACAUGCAAGUCGAACGGUAACAGGAAGCAGCUUGCUGCUUCGCUGACGAGUGGCGGACGGGUGAGUAAUGUCUGGGAAGCUGCCUGAUGGAGGGGGAUAACUACUGGAAACGGUAGCUAAUACCGCAUAAUGUCGCAAGACCAAAGAGGGGGACCUUCGGGCCUCUUGCCAUCGGAUGUGCCCAGAUGGGAUUAGCUUGUUGGUGGGGUAACGGCUCACCAAGGCGACGAUCCCUAGCUGGUCUGAGAGGAUGACCAGCCACACUGGAACUGAGACACGGUCCAGACUCCUACGGGAGGCAGCAGUGGGGAAUAUUGCACAAUGGGCGCAAGCCUGAUGCAGCCAUGCCGCGUGUAUGAAGAAGGCCUUCGGGUUGUAAAGUACUUUCAGCGGGGAGGGAGGGAGUAAAGUUAAUACCUUUGCUCAUUGACGUUACCCGCAGAAGAAGCACCGGCUAACUCCGUG
This 490-nucleotide ribosomal RNA is filed under the name uncultured bacterium. Its description in RNAcentral is "partial 16S ribosomal RNA". It matches the Rfam family "Bacterial small subunit ribosomal RNA", at positions 30 to 507 of the family's 1533-position model. The record is from RNAcentral.